ACCCGCUGAACUUAAGCAUAUCAAUAAGCGGAGGAAAAGAGACCAACAGGGAUUGCCCUAGUAACGGCGAGUGAAGCGGCAUCAGCUCAAAUUUGAAAUCUGGCUCUUUUAGGGUCCGAGUUGUAAUUUGCAGAGGGCGCUUUGGCAUAGGCAGCGAUUCAAGUUCCUUGGAACAGGACGUCACAGAGGGUGAGAAUCCCGUACGUGGUCGCUAGCUCUUGCCGUGUAAAGCCCCUUCGACGAGUCGAGUUGUUUGGGAAUGCAGCUCUAAAUGGGAGGUAAAUUUCUUCUAAAGCUAAAUAUUGGCCAGAGACCGAUAGCGCACAAGUAGAGUGAUCGAAAGAUGAAAAGUACUUUGGAAAGAGAGUCAAAAAGCACGUGAAAUUGUUGAAAGGGAAGCGCUUGCAGCCAGACUUGCCUGUAGUUGCUCAUCCGGGCUCUUGCCCGGUGCACUCUUCUGUAGGCAGGCCAGCAUCAGUUUGGGCGGUUGGAUAAAGGUCUCUGUCAUGUACCUCUCUUCGGGGAGGCCUUAUAGGGGAGGCGACAUACAACCAGCCUGGACUGAGGUCCGCGCAUUCGUGCUAGGAUGCUGGCGUAAUGGCUGU
This 605-nucleotide ribosomal RNA is filed under the name uncultured fungus. Its description in RNAcentral is "eukaryotic LSU rRNA". It matches the Rfam family "Eukaryotic large subunit ribosomal RNA", at positions 23 to 641 of the family's 3401-position model. Lineage: Eukaryota; Fungi. The record is from RNAcentral.